CCAUGUGAUGAAAGAACGACAACAGGGAUUCCUCGAACCGAACUAUAAUGUGGAUUCAUUGUUUUUGUUUCAGCCUUGUCUGAUG
Molecule: small nucleolar RNA, 85 nt
Filed under: Phaeoacremonium minimum UCRPA7
Lineage: Eukaryota; Fungi; Ascomycota; Sordariomycetes; Togniniales; Togniniaceae
Description: A. fumigatus snoRNA Afu_455
Rfam family: A. fumigatus snoRNA Afu_455
Source: Rfam by way of RNAcentral